RNAcentral lists this ribosomal RNA (181 nucleotides) under uncultured bacterium. RNAcentral describes it as "partial 16S ribosomal RNA". It matches the Rfam family "Bacterial small subunit ribosomal RNA", at positions 1321 to 1500 of the family's 1533-position model. The record is from RNAcentral.
UGAAGCCGGAAUUGCUAGUAAUGGCAGGUCAGCAUACUGCCGUGAAUACGUUCCCGGGCCUUGUACACACCGCCCGUCACACCAUGAGAGUUGGGGAUACCCGAAGCCUGUGAGCCAACUUUUUAAGAGGCAGCAGUCGAAGGUAGAAUCAAUGAUUGGGGUGAAGUCGUAACAAGGUACC